GAUGAACGCUGGCGGCGUGCCUAAUACAUGCAAGUCGAGCGAACGGACGAGAAGCUUGCUUCUCUGAUGUUAGCGGCGGACGGGUGAGUAACACGUGGAUAACCUACCUAUAAGACUGGGAUAACUUCGGGAAACCGGAGCUAAUACCGGAUAAUAUUUUGAACCGCAUGGUUCAAAAGUGAAAGACGGUCUUGCUGUCACUUAUAGGUGGAUCCGCGCUGCAUUAGCUAGUUGGUAAGGUAACGGCUUACCAAGGCAACGAUGCAUAGCCGACCUGAGAGGGUGAUCGGCCACACUGGAACUGAGACACGGUCCAGACUCCUACGGGAGGCAGCAGUAGGGAAUCUUCCGCAAAGGGCGAAAGCCUGACGGAGCAACGCCGCGUGAGUGAUGAAGGUCUUCGGAUCGUAAAACUCUGUUAUUAGGGAAGAACAUAUGUGUAAGUAACUGUGCACAUCUUGACGGUACCUAAUCAGAAAGCCACGGCUAACUACGUG
This 497-nucleotide ribosomal RNA is filed under the name uncultured bacterium. RNAcentral describes it as "partial 16S ribosomal RNA". It matches the Rfam family "Bacterial small subunit ribosomal RNA", at positions 28 to 507 of the family's 1533-position model. The record is from RNAcentral.